UAGGUUCGCUAGUAUCAAUUGGUACCCUGGU
This 31-nucleotide non-coding RNA is filed under the name Mus musculus (house mouse). Lineage: Eukaryota; Metazoa; Chordata; Mammalia; Rodentia; Muridae. The record is from RNAcentral.